GACGAACGCUGGCGGCGUGCUUAACACAUGCAAGUCGAACGGAAAGGCCCUGCUUUUGUGGGGUGCUCGAGUGGCGAACGGGUGAGUAACACGUGAGUAACCUGCCCUUGACUUUGGGAUAACUUCAGGAAACUGGGGCUAAUACCGGAUAGGAGCUCCUGCUGCAUGGUGGGGGUUGGAAAGUUUCGGCGGUUGGGGAUGGACUCGCGGCUUAUCAGCUUGUUGGUGGGGUAGUGGCUUACCAAGGCUUUGACGGGUAGCCGGCCUGAGAGGGUGACCGGCCACAUUGGGACUGAGAUACGGCCCAGACUCCUACGGGAGGCAGCAGUGGGGAAUAUUGCACAAUGGGCGGAAGCCUGAUGCAGCAACGCCGCGUGCGGGAUGACGGCCUGCGGGUUGUAAACCGCUUUCGCCUGUGACGAAGCGUUAGUGACGGUAAUGGGUAAAGAAGCACCGGCUAACUACGUG
Molecule: ribosomal RNA, 468 nt
Filed under: uncultured bacterium
Lineage: Bacteria
Description: partial 16S ribosomal RNA
Rfam family: Bacterial small subunit ribosomal RNA
Source: RNAcentral